This 836-nucleotide long non-coding RNA is filed under the name Daucus carota (carrot). RNAcentral describes it as "long non-coding RNA (DCAR_LNC006015)". Lineage: Eukaryota; Viridiplantae; Streptophyta; Magnoliopsida; Apiales; Apiaceae. The record is from RNAcentral.
UAAGCUAAAGGACUGGAUUGUAAGGAAUAAAUGUUUCUGCCGAUGAAGGUACAAUUCUACAUAUAUAUGUGAGCUAGCUAGCGGUGUUAGUCGGGCUCGGCUCAAUAAUCUGGGAGGCCAUGUGUAAAACUGAAUUAUAAAUUUUUAUAAUGAUUAAACUAGCUCCAGCAUUACGGAGUUAGAAAGGUGUUAUUUUUACAAGGUAAAUAUCUGCAUUUUCAGAGACAUUGUACUUGCUGAUGUUGCCUGGUGCUGUACUUCUGCCUGGUGGGUGCUGUAGUUUUGCCUGGUAAAGUAUGUGCACUAUUAGUAGCACUAUUAGUAACCUCCUUAAUAAUUUAAUUUUUUUUAUGCAUAUGCUCUACAAAGUUGUAGAAACUAUAAUUGAAGUGCAAGUGAUUGGAGCUGAAGAAUCUUAUCCAAGAUCCCAAUAUUCAAUUACUAUGUUCCGUGUUGGUAGUCUGAAGUCUCAUGUUAGUAACAUUAUUAUUAAGUUAAUAAUGUUCUAUUUGUAGGACGAGUUGUUUAAUUGUAGCGGGGUUUGUUAUUUGCAGUAUUGCUGAAAUUGCAUGAUAUGUUUAACAUUUUUAUUAAAAGGAUUUUUGUGUAUUGGAUAAUGAGCAGGAACUGUUACAAACAGAAUGAAUUUGAUUAAUGACGGAGAAUUAAUCACCAAAGUGGAUUGUCAAGUUUUGUUGGUGUACAAAUUAUUGUGUGCAACCGAGAAGGAAGAAGGCUGCAACUUUUCUGGCAAGACAUGGAGUAGAAAUUUAAACUUUUAUUUGCACUCAAGAAUCCUUCUACUCGACAUGGGAAACCUAUAAAGUAGAUUCAUG